CCCUUGUGGACGUAUGUUGUAGCGUUGUCCGACUAACUCACCCCUUGUGGACGUAUGUUGUCCGACUAACUCACCCCUUGUGGACGUAUGUUUUAGCGUUGUCAGACUAACUCACCCCUUGUGGACGUGUGUUGUAGCGUUGUCAGACUAACUCACCCCUUGUGGACGUGCUUUGUCUGACUAACUCACCCCUUGUGGACGUAUGUUGUAGCGUUGUCCGACUAACUCACCCCUUGUGGACGUAUGUUGUCCGACAAACUCAACCCUUGUGGACGUAUGUUGUAGCGUUGUCCGACUAACUCACCCCUUCUGGACGUAUAUUGUAGCGUUGUCCGACUAACUCACCCCUUGUGGACUUAUGUUGUAGCGUUGUCCGACUAACUCACCCCUUGUGGAGGUGUGUUGUCCGACUAACUCACCCCUUGUGGGCGUAUGUUGUAGCGUUGUCCGACUAACUCACCCCUUGUGGACGUAUGUUGUAGCAUUGUCCGACUAACUCACCCCUUGUGGAGGUGCGUUGUCCGACUAACUCACCCCUUGUGGACGUGUGUUGUAGCGUUGUCCGACUAACUCACCCCUUGUGGACGUAUGUUGUAGCGUUGUCAGACUAACUCACCCCUUGUGGACCUGUGUUGUAGCGUUGUCCGACUAACUCACCCCUUGUGGACGUGCGUUGUCCGACUAACUCGCCCCUUGUGGACGUGCGUUGUCCGACUAACUCGCCCCUUGUGGACGUGCGUUGUCCGACUAACUCGCCCCUUGUGGACGUAUGUUGUAGCGUUGUCCGACUAACUCACCAUUUGUGGGCGUAUGUUGUAGCGUUGUCCGACUAACACACCCCUCGUGGACGUAUGUUGUAGCAUUGUCCGACUAACACACCCCUCGUGGACGUAUGUUGUAGCAUUGUCCGACUAACUCACCCCUUGUGGACGUGCGUUGUCCGAAUAACUCACCCCUUGUGGACGUAUAUUGUAGCGUUGUCCGACUAACUCACCCCUUGUGGACGUAUGUUGUAGCGUUGUCCGACUAACUCACCCCUUGUGGACGUAUGUUGUAGCGUUGUCCGACUAACUCACCCCUUCUGGACGUGCGUUGUCCGACUAACUCACCCCUUGUGGACGUAUAUUGUAGCGUUGUCCGACUAACUCACCCCUUGUGGACGUAUGUUGUAGCGUUGUCCGACUAACUCACCCCUUGUGGACGUGCGUUGUCCGACUAACUCACCCCUUGUGGACGUAUGUUGUAGCGUUGUCCGACUAACUCGCCCCUUGUGGACGUGCAUUGUCCGACUAACUCGCCCCUUGUGGACGUGCGUUGUCCGACUAACUCGCCCCUUGUGGACGUGCGUUGUCCGACUAACUCGCCCCUUGUGGACGUGCGUUGUCCGACAAACUCGCCCCUUGUGGACGUGCGUUGUCCGACAAACUCGCCCCUUGUGGACGUGCGUUGUC
This 1451-nucleotide long non-coding RNA is filed under the name Salmo salar (Atlantic salmon). RNAcentral describes it as "lncRNA (ENSSSAG00000102852.1)". Lineage: Eukaryota; Metazoa; Chordata; Actinopteri; Salmoniformes; Salmonidae. The record is from RNAcentral.